ACGGUGGGAAAACAUUUAAACGCAGAAGAAAAUUUUGCAUUAGCUGCAUAAGCUACGUCCCUCAUACUUGUGCCUACCAAGUGUGAAUGGACGUCAAACCGUAGGCUGGCUUAAUUUAGUCGUUCAUAUGAAUUAGGCGAGACAACAUGAACUGGAGUACUGUAGUUUGUCUGUGAGCGAUAGGUACUUGAGAUUUAAAUCAUAGACUGUGCUCGGAGAAGUCUAUAUGGCAACGCUUUUGGACAGGAGUUCGACUCUCCUCAUCUCCACCA
Molecule: transfer-messenger RNA, 272 nt
Filed under: Veillonella sp.
Lineage: Bacteria; Bacillati; Bacillota; Negativicutes; Veillonellales; Veillonellaceae
Description: partial transfer-messenger RNA
Rfam family: transfer-messenger RNA
About the family: Bacterial tmRNA, also known as 10Sa RNA or SsrA, is named for its dual tRNA and mRNA-like properties. Its role is to liberate the mRNA from a stalled ribosome. To accomplish this part of the tmRNA is used as a reading frame that ends in a translation stop signal.
Source: RNAcentral